GAUGAACGCUAGCUACAGGCUUAACACAUGCAAGUCGAGGGGAAACGGCAUCGAAAGCUUGCUUUUGAUGGGCGUCGACCGGCGCACGGGUGAGUAACGCGUAUCCAACCUGCCCAUCACUUGGGAAUAACCUUGCGAAAGUAAGACUAAUGCCCAAUGACAUCCCACGAAGGCAUCCGAAUGGGAUUAAAGAUUUAUCGGUGAUGGAUGGGGAUGCGUCUGAUUAGCUUGUUGGCGGGGUGACGGCCCACCAAGGCAACGAUCAGUAGGGGUUCUGAGAGUAAGGUCCCCCACAUUGGAACUGAGACACGGUCCAAACUCCUACGGGAGGCAGCAGUGAGGAAUAUUAGUCAAUGGGCGAGAGCCUGAACCAGCCAAGUAGCGUGCAGGAUGACGGCCCUAUGGGUUGUAAACUGCUUUUAUAAGGGAAUAAAGUGGGUCACGUGUGACUUUUUGCAUGUACCUUAUGAAUAAGGACCGGCUAAUUCCGUG
Molecule: ribosomal RNA, 492 nt
Filed under: uncultured bacterium
Lineage: Bacteria
Description: partial 16S ribosomal RNA
Rfam family: Bacterial small subunit ribosomal RNA
Source: RNAcentral